GGGACACUUCUGUACGUUUGGUGUAUUUUCUUCAGUUACAAGUGUCCAUAUGGAUAAGGAAACCUGCGACGUGUUGGCGAAUUGAGGAUUCACCGAUAAAAUCCCAUAAUUUUAUUGCGAAAAAAUCGACCAUGACCGUCUUUCAAGAUUUGAUUGCACCCAGCCUAAUCCAAUAAUUGACAAAACAUUUACUUCAGAAGAAAAACGAACGAAUUUUGUAUCUAAAUUAAGCCUCUAUCAAGGCCUAAUUUUUAAUGAUAUUCAGAUCCAAGUGGAAUCUGAGGACGCAGAAAUGGAUGAACAAACUUGUACAAAGGAAUGUGAAAAUAAUCAACCUGAAUCUGCUCGCCUUUUCUUAAAAGACCGCUAAGUAUAAAAGAAGAAAUCGGUAGUCAUUCUGCCAAAGACACUCGAAUAGAAUCUUCGAGCGAUAAUAGCUUUUACGAUUUGACUCGUCCUCUAAAGAAAACAAAUACUGGGGAGGGAAUUUGAAUAAAUCGGCGAAAUACGGUAUUCUCAACUAAAGUACGAAACGAGAUAGUCGAUAUAAUUAUUCGAUCUUUAAUGGAAAUUAAGAUACCAUCUAGUGGUGAUAAAAUCGAAUUACCGAGACUCGAGAAUUAUCAUUCGGAUCUUUUAACACGUAAAUUUUGUGAAUUUUUUACAAAAGAAGAUCCACGAAUCUAUUAUAUUUCCACCGAAGACAAACGGUAAGGACCAACCGAUAUCCAGGGGAAAGUUUGUAGACAAGUACAGAAACUGGCGUACUUUCCAAGCAAAAUUAGAAUUGAUCAUCACUAAAAAAAUGUGACGGUCGGGAUGAUAAUGAAAAUGGAGAAAAUUUUACACAUGAGAUUAGAUUUUUUUUUUUAACCUUUUUUAAGAUAACUUGUUGAAUGUUUUAUGAAAUUACCCCAUUCAUUUGCGCAACGAAUAAUGAAGCUCCUUCAAGUGAACACAUCUUGUGGCUACUAAAUAAUGACUCUCCAUGGGGAAGUGUUUUGAACCAUUGGCUAUUGAGUAUUGAGGAAAGAUUGCAUGAAUUCAGGCAUAUUCUAGGAAACGUUCAGGAUAUAUUUAACUAGUAUCCUGUAUUAAAACAGCCCAGUGGUCAUGAAUUGAUUGAUAUUGACUUCGCGUAUGAGAAGGGUAGAGAAGGAACAAUUUAUAUUCAGUGGCCAGAUUUAUCUAUCAAACUAUAUGAAUUAAUGCAGAAUUAAAUAAAAGACCCAACAUCUAGGACCUUGUUGGAAACUCUUGCUACAACCGAUAUUCCCGACGAUGAAUUGAACCUAAAAUUGCUGCUGCUCUUGCCAGCUCUGUGCCCGCCUGUUGUAAAAAUUAUAAAAAAAGGUUCAAAGUCAACAUCGA
Molecule: long non-coding RNA, 1371 nt
Organism: Belonocnema kinseyi
Lineage: Eukaryota; Metazoa; Arthropoda; Insecta; Hymenoptera; Cynipidae
Exons: 7
Source: RefSeq, a predicted model, not a curated record